This 251-nucleotide ribosomal RNA is filed under the name uncultured prokaryote. Its description in RNAcentral is "partial 16S rRNA". It matches the Rfam family "Bacterial small subunit ribosomal RNA", at positions 525 to 775 of the family's 1533-position model. The record is from RNAcentral.
ACGUAGGGUGCAAGCGUUAUCCGGAAUUAUUGGGCGUAAAGGGCGCGUAGGCGGUUUGAUGCGUCUGUCGUGAAAGCCCAGGGCUCAACUCCAGAUCUGCGGUGGAUACGGGCAGACUAGAGUAAAGUAGAAGAGAGCGGAAUUUCUGGUGUAGCGGUGAAAUGCUUAGAUAUCAGGAGGAACACCGAUGGCGAAGGCAGGUCUCUGGAUUGUAACUGACGCUGACGCGCGAAAGCAUGGGGAGCAAACAG